This 574-nucleotide ribosomal RNA is filed under the name Achromobacter sp. QD49. RNAcentral's name for it is "bacterial SSU rRNA". It matches the Rfam family "Bacterial small subunit ribosomal RNA", at positions 350 to 916 of the family's 1533-position model. The record is from RNAcentral. Lineage: Bacteria; Pseudomonadati; Pseudomonadota; Betaproteobacteria; Burkholderiales; Alcaligenaceae.
AGCAGUGGGGAAUUUUGGACAAUGGGGGAAACCCUGAUCCAGCCAUCCCGCGUGUGCGAUGAAGGCCUUCGGGUUGUAAAGCACUUUUGGCAGGAAAGAAACGUCGCGGGUUAAUACCCCGCGAAACUGACGGUACCUGCAGAAUAAGCACCGGCUAACUACGUGCCAGCAGCCGCGGUAAUACGUAGGGUGCAAGCGUUAAUCGGAAUUACUGGGCGUAAAGCGUGCGCAGGCGGUUCGGAAAGAAAGAUGUGAAAUCCCAGAGCUUAACUUUGGAACUGCAUUUUUAACUACCGAGCUAGAGUGUGUCAGAGGGAGGUGGAAUUCCGCGUGUAGCAGUGAAAUGCGUAGAUAUGCGGAGGAACACCGAUGGCGAAGGCAGCCUCCUGGGAUAACACUGACGCUCAUGCACGAAAGCGUGGGGAGCAAACAGGAUUAGAUACCCUGGUAGUCCACGCCCUAAACGAUGUCAACUAGCUGUUGGGGCCUUCGGGCCUUGGUAGCGCAGCUAACGCGUGAAGUUGACCGCCUGGGGAGUACGGUCGCAAGAUUAAAACUCAAAGAAAUUUGACGG